Molecule: non-coding RNA, 2304 nt
Organism: Oryctolagus cuniculus (rabbit)
Lineage: Eukaryota; Metazoa; Chordata; Mammalia; Lagomorpha; Leporidae
Source: RefSeq, a predicted model, not a curated record
CAGAUCACAAGCCGUGUCCAGGAGAGGCAGCAGCAGGCAGCGGGAGCACAGGAGCCUGAGCUGGAGGCUUACCUGGCCGUGCUGUGCCCCACAGUGACACUUCUGAGGCCACCCAGGAGGCACAGCUGGCUGCACCAAACCUGGCUCCCGUCACCCUCACAGGUGGCUGCUCUGUGACUCCCCAUUGCCCACGGUGUGUAUCUUUUUUCCUUUAUCUUAUCAACUAAAGAAUUGGAAAGACAUUUUGCCUGAAGGAAAGCACUGAGGAAGCUCACAGUAAUACAAUUUGAAGGACACCUGUAUACUGGAAUUUUUGCCUCACCCGUCUGGCGUCUCCUCUGGCUGCCCUUCUGAAACGUGCGCUCCGAAAGGACCCGUAUGGUGGUGCUUUCCCUCAACAGCACCCCCAGGAGAAGAAAAUAGUAUUUUUACAACAUCAGUUGUGAAAGUUGGGCUGAGACAAUUUAGAACAUUUUGGCUGCUUUUCACAUUGACUUCAAUAGAGGAAUAAAUCGAAACUAGAUCUCCAUCAGCAAGAAAGAAGUAUUUGACAAAUUAUUUAAAAGACUGGGGCUCAGAAAAACUUUGACAACCUGCUUAAGACCUUGAACCUGCCCCACUGACGAGCCUGCAGUCUUCAACACCUCUGACGCUGUGGCAUCUGACUACCUUGUCCGUUCACCUUUUCCACCACCCUUGGGCAAAAUGCAAAGCUGGCAGCAAGCAGCAGAGAAUGCAAAGGUGGACACCCUGGCAUCCCAAAUGGAAAUGCUUAUUCUAGUUAUUGUUGUUCACCCUUGACCAUGCACUCGGGUAUCAAUUCGCUAAAAUUAGAAGAGGAAUUAUUAUAACAUCUUCAUCCGUUUGAUUAAAAUAAAUGAGCACGAAAUGUACAAUUUUGUCUUUUCAGCCUAAAAUGGUUGCUAGAGACUAGAAGUGCUUCUGACUUACAUUGGCCAGGAUUUGGAAUGACCCUAUAAUCUCAUUGAAGGGAUAUCAAUAAUCAGGGAAUUGAUGAUUGCCACAUACACAAACAAAUGCUUCUUCGUAAUCACCUGUUUUUAACUAAACACCAGAGCAAACUAAGCUGAUCUAUGUCUCAUGUCUUUAUUGAUGUGGAGCCCUACCUGUUCAUAUUUGCCUGAUUUGAGCAAAAAACAGCCACAACUCCAGAGUGAGAAACUUGUCCUGUAAAGAAGCAGAUAGGAAAUGCUUUCGCUUUUAUAAAUGACUUUGCUGUGCAGUUCUCUAUUAUAUAUUAAAUGGCUCCUCUGAUUUGAAGAACUUUCAAGCUGAGCGCUCAAGCCUGCAGUACUGCCCACUAUAAACAGGCAUUUGACAGAAUGAAAAAACUCAUUUCAUCUUCUCUUUAAUCUGUAUGCUUCCUCCACUCCCCCUUUCCAUUUGCAACAUAGAAUGGACUUUCCACUAUCAGUCUUAGCUCCUCAAUAAGGCAGUCCUGUUUCCAAGGCAAUUCGGUGCAUUAUAAACGAGAGGAAAUGAAAAUGCUUGCCACCCACUGAUUAACUGCCUGUCAAUAUAUUUAGAUCAGCUUAAUAUUUCCCCCAGAAUUCAGAAAUAUUGGAAAUAUCCUAGAGCAAAGCUCCACACCUGAAUCCCUCAAGAGAAGCGGGAGAAACACCUUUCCAUCAAUUCUUCCAGAUUCAUAAGGCAAAGCCAACCCUAAUUCAAGCUAAUAAAAACGUUGCAAGCGUCUGGGAAGCUGGAAGGCUAGCAAACUCCGCCACGCUUGGUUUUUAAAGCUGCAGAAAACUUGAAGAACUUAGUGGCCUAACAAACCACCUGCCAUCGGGACUGAUGUGUUGAUGUCCUUGAAAAUGCAUUUUGUGAUGACACAGAGAGCUUCUGCACUUGAGUAACUGUAGCUAUGCUUCCUCCCAGCUUUGUCAAGGAAAUUUUUUAUGCUCAAACACUGCCUGGAUCAAUAGCAACUCAAUAUCAUUCAUGAUUAGUGCAAUGGUGCUCCUUCCCUUUUCUGAGACUGAUCCAGAUGAGAAGGUUGGUUUAACCCUAUGCAUACCUAACAGGGACUAAACAGAAAUUUAUGAUGAAAAUUCAGGCUCGUCUCCUGACGGUGUUCAUGCAACUGUUUCCUCCCUCACUGCUCCUCUGCUGAUUUCCUGUAACGGUUAAACGGGCCAUGUCUCUCGAGGCUCCAUUCAUAUCCUUUUACCUGUGGCUCGUGACUCUACCUUGAGCUAUUUUUAAAUAGUUGACCUGAUAGAUGACCUGAGCCAUCUCAUGUUUCAUCUAUCCUUGUAAAAAAAAAAGAAAGAAAGAAAA